AGGGAUGUAGCUCAGUGACAGAGCACAUGCUUAGCAUGCACAAGGCCCUGGGUUCAAUCCCUUGCACCCCUU
This 72-nucleotide transfer RNA is filed under the name Heterocephalus glaber (naked mole-rat). It matches the Rfam family "tRNA". From Rfam's summary of the family: Transfer RNA (tRNA) molecules are approximately 80 nucleotides in length. Their secondary structure includes four short double-helical elements and three loops (D, anti-codon, and T loops). Lineage: Eukaryota; Metazoa; Chordata; Mammalia; Rodentia; Bathyergidae. The record is from Rfam by way of RNAcentral.